GUGAACAUUGUGCACAUAUAUUAAAAUUGGAAUGAUACAGAGAAGAUUAGCAUAGCCUCUGCGGAAGGAUGACAUGCAAAUUCGUGAAGCGUUCCAUAUUUUU
RNAcentral lists this small nuclear RNA (103 nucleotides) under Salvator merianae (Argentine black and white tegu). Lineage: Eukaryota; Metazoa; Chordata; Lepidosauria; Squamata; Teiidae. The record is from RNAcentral.